UUUAAAUGUAAAAAUUAAUACUAAAUUAGUAAUAGUUAUGUUCUUUAAAUUUAAAGAUUUUGGCGGUAUUUUAGUCUAUUCAGAGGAACCUGUUCUAUAAUUGAUAGUCCACGAUUUAUUUUACUUUAUUUAAAAAUUUGUAUAUCGUCGUUUAUAAAAAAUUUUAUAAGAAUAAUAAUUUUUAAGAUUUUAUAUAAAAAAAUAUAUCAGAUCAAGGUGCAGUUUAUAGUAAAGAAGAAAUGGGUUACAAUAAAUUUAUUUAAAUGGAUUAAUAAAUUAAAUUUUAUUAUUGAAAGUGGAUUUGAUAGUAAUAAUAUUGAAAUUAAUUUUAUGAUUUUAGCUCUAAAAUAUGU
RNAcentral lists this ribosomal RNA (353 nucleotides) under Graphoderus liberus. Its description in RNAcentral is "partial 12S ribosomal RNA". The record is from RNAcentral. Lineage: Eukaryota; Metazoa; Arthropoda; Insecta; Coleoptera; Dytiscidae.